GCUUGGGUUAGAUUUACUUGAUCAAAAGCUUUAGACAUAUCCAGUGAUAUUAUUAUUUUUGAUUUGAAAUUCAUUUUUAGAUGAAGAUCAAAUAAUAAUUUUUGUCUGGAAAUGUACUUUGUAUAAGCAUAUUGAGAAUUUUCCUCCAAAAGAUGUGGCAGCAAAGAUUGUAAUCUCUCGGCGAUCACUCUAUCAAUCAAUUUUAAGAGAUAAUUUGGUGCUUUCACGAUUCUAAUUGUUUUACCAUCAGGUUUGGGUACCAAACCAACACCAAAUAUACGAACAGGUUCAGUGAACUUCCUUGCAUGUUUUUCAAUAAUAAUAAUCGUUCAAGUUGACUGAGACCAUCAAAUUUUCGUUCGUAGACUUGAUCGCGAUGAAUUGGAUGAUUUGUGGUAAAUGAUAAAAUGUAUUUCCAAGCAUCUGUUGAAUUUAGAUUACUUGAUGGAAAUCGUUGAACUUUCUGGACCAUUGCUCUUCUCUUUUCACGAUUUGCCAUUUGAUGAAUUGGUUUUUUCGAGCCACUUAUCCAAUUGCCAUGAAUUUUCGGAAAAUUAAUAAUGUUAUUGCAGUUUAUUAUUAAUGAAUGAUUUUUAUUAAUUGGUCUUUCAUCCAUCGGUUUCAAUUUAAGCUUCCAGGAGUUUAUGAAAAGUUUUCUCGAAUGGUGUCAAUCCAAGACAUUGAAUCUCUGGUGUUAUAUGUUGGUUUCGAUGAUUUAUCAAACACUGAAGACAAUUGGUUAUUUAUUAUGA
Molecule: long non-coding RNA, 752 nt
Organism: Panonychus citri (citrus red mite)
Lineage: Eukaryota; Metazoa; Arthropoda; Arachnida; Trombidiformes; Tetranychidae
Exons: 4
Source: RefSeq, a predicted model, not a curated record